This 3700-nucleotide long non-coding RNA is filed under the name Podarcis lilfordi (Lilford's wall lizard). Lineage: Eukaryota; Metazoa; Chordata; Lepidosauria; Squamata; Lacertidae. The record is from RNAcentral.
CUUUUCUGUUUCCAGCAGGACACACCUGGCAAUGGAUGCGACAUUCAGCACUGCCCAGGUUUCUUCCACUUGGAGGAGGCAAACUGGUGAAUGGAAGGAGGCAAUCCUCUGGCAGUGGAAUGCUAAGGAGCGAUAAUAAGGCAAGUUUGCUUGCUUGGGGGCUGCUGGUAUCUGUGAUUAGAAGCUGGCGGACGUCUCAUGAUGGGCCUAACAAUAGCUUCUGGCACAAUGGGACACCAUGACAGAAAUGAGAGCACACAGAAACACCAUUUACCUUCCUGCCGCCACGGUACCUGUUUAUCUACUUACACUGGUGUGCUUUCAAACUGCUAGGUUGGCAGGAGCUGGGACAGAGCCACGGGAGCUCACUCCAUCCUGGGGAUUCAAACCGCCGACCUUCCGAUCGGCAAGCCCAAGAGGCUCAGUGGUUUAGACCACAGUGCCACCUGUGUCCACUGUGUGCAAAGUGAGCACACCACAUUCCCUACCCUGGUCACUGUGAUGGUGACAGUCAGUCAGUUCAAGAUACUAUCUUCUUCCAUCCUUUUUCAGUGGUUGCGUACAGGAAAGGGCUGUAGUUAAGUAACAGAGCAUUGGACCCCGUGACCCCACACAGUCCCUUCCAACUCUGCAAUUCUGUGAACUAUGAUCUGUUUUGCAUGCGUAAGGUUCCAGGUUCAAUGUCUAGCAUCUCCAGAAUGGGCUGGGUAUUGUCCCCAGUCUGGAACACUGGCAGUCAGUGUAGACAAUACUGAGGAAGAUGGGCUAAUGGUCUGACUCAGCCAGAGGCAGCGUCCCAUGUUCCUUUGUGCGUCUUUGCACAAGUUACAGCUAUUGUUGUUAAAUAAUAAUAAUAAUAAUAAUUUAUUGAUUAUACCCUGCCCAUCUGGCUGAGUUUCCCCAGCCACUCUGGGCGGCUUCCAAUCAAGUGUUAAAAACAAUAAAGUAGAAGACCAAGACAUUGAGAACCCGAAAGGAAUAAGGAAAGGAUUUGUGGACUUUUAUAGAGAUCUAUAUAAAAGAAAAGAGAAAUCUAAGAUAAAGACGAUAGAAGACUAUUUAAAGAAGAAAGGGGUGCAAAAAAUUCCAGUGACAAAUAAAAAUAAAUUGAAUGAACCAAUUGGAAUAGAAGAAGUUAAAACGGCUAUAAAAGAAUUAAAAAGUGGGAAGACUCCGGGACUGGAUGGAUUUGGUGCAAGAUAUUAUAAAGAAAUGAAAGACAUCUUACUUGUACCAUUGGUAGAAGUUAUGAACAACAUUCUGAAAGAAGGACAAAUACCAGAGACAUGGAAAGAAGCAUAUAUAACAUUAAUUCCCAAGCAGGACUCAGAUUUAACUCAAGUUAAAAACUAUAGGCCAAUUUCGCUAUUGAACAAUGAUUAUAAAAUAUUUGCUAACAUCUUGGCAAAUAGAAUGAAAAAGACAUUAAAGGAAUUGAUCCAUAAGGACCAAACAGGAUUCCUGCCAGGGAGGCAGAUGAAAGACAAUAUAAGAAACAUAAUAAAUAUAAUAGAAUAUCUGACUAAUAAGAAAGAUAAGCAAGCGAUGUUGAUAUUUGUUGAUGCGGAAAAGGCAUUUGAUAAUAUUUCUUGGGAAUUUAUGUUAAAGAAUCUGGAAUUUCUGGAGAUGGGUCAUUCAUUUGUGAAUGGUGUAAAGGCAAUAUAUUCUGAACAAAGAGCAAAAUUAAUUGUUAAUAAUGUACUGACAGAUGAUAUUGCUAUAACCAAGGGUACAAGACAAGGGUGUCCCUUAUCACCAUUGUUAUUCAUAUCAGUCCUGGAAGUCUUGUUGAGAGCGUUAAGAAGUAAUGAUUUGAUAAAAGGUGUGACAGUUGGUUGUAAGGAAUAUAAGGUAAAAGCCUUCGCUGAUGAUUUGGUUAUAACAAUAGAAGACCCUAUUAAAAGUGUUAAGGAAGUGUUAGAAGAGAUAGAGCAAUUCGGACAAGUUGCCGGAUUCAAAUUAAAUAAGAGUAAAACGAAAAUAAUGGUUAAAAAUAUGGACCAAGAGAUAAUAGAAAGAAUUCAGCAACAAACAGAUAUGGAAGUGGUUAAGAAAGUUAAAUAUCUUGGGAUUAUAUUAACUCCCAAGUGUAUUGAUCUUUUUCAAAAUAAUUAUGUACCAGUCUGGAACAAGAUUAGGAAGGACCUGGAAGUGUGGGGAAGAAUGAAGUUGUCAUUUUGGGGAAGAAUUGCAACGGUAAAAAUGAAUGUGCUACCAAAAAUGUUGUUUUUAUUUCAAUCAAUACCAAUAAUUAAAGGUGUUACAAUAUUUAAAGAAUGGCAAAGAGCAUGCUCAAGAUACGUCUGGCAGGGCAAGAAGCCUAGAAUAAAAUUUAAGAUUUUAACGGAUGCAAAAGAUAGAGGAGGCUUUGCCCUGCCAGACCUAAAGUUAUAUUUCGAGGCUGCAUGUCUUUGCUGGGUGAAAGAAUGGAUAAAGUUGGAAAAUUCAGAACUUUUGGAUUUAGAAGGAUAUGAUAAUAGAUUUGGUUGGCACGCAUAUUUAUGGUAUGAGAAAAAAAGAGUGCAUAAAGGUUUUGAAAAUCACAUUUUCUGAGGUCCGCUGAUUGAAGUAUGGAAUAGGUACAAAAAUUUAUUAGAGUUUAAAACUCCAUUCUGGCUGUCGCCAUUGGAGGUAAUGAGUGUUAAAAAGAUCAAUAUGAUGGGGAGUUGGAUUACAUAUGAGAAUUUAAUUAUAAAAGAAGGAAAUAAAUGGAAAUUGAAGACAUACGAUGAAGUUAAAGAAUAUGUGUUUGAUUGGUUACACUACUUCCAAGUGAAUGCGAUGUUUAAAAAAUAGAUGCUGGAAAGAGGUUUUCAAGAUGAAAAAUCUAGAUUUUAAAAAGCAAUUGUGAAUAAUGAUGUUAAAAUUUUAUCAAAAAUGUAUAAAUUAUUACUUGAGUGGCAUACUAAGGAUGAAGAGGUUAAAGUUGCAAUGAUUCAGUGGGCCAAAGACUUUGGUUAUAAUAUUCAAUUUGAUGAUUGGAUAAGAUUGUGGAAAGAAGGAAUGAAAUUUACUGCAUGUACUACAAUAAAAGAAAACGUUAUGAAAAUGUUAUAUAGAUGGUAUGUUACACCAGUAAAACUUGGAAAGAUGUAUAAAGUGAGUAAUAAAUGUUGGAAAUGUCAGGAGAAAGAAGGAACAUUCUAUCAUAUGUGGUGGGAAUGUAAAAAAAUGAAAGGUUUCUGGGAAAUGAUUUAUAAUGAAUUGGAAAAAAAUGUUGAAAUAUACCUUUGUUAAAAAACCAGAAACUUUUCUGUUAGGAAUAUUAAGAAAAGACAUAAAAAAGAAGGAUGAGAAGUUGUUUUUAUAUGCAGUAACAGCGGCAAGAAUUUUGGUGGCACAAAAAUGGAAACAGGAAGAACUCCCGACGAAAGAAGAAUGGAGAAUGAAAUUGAUGGAAUACGCAGAAUUAGACAAGCUAACGGGGAGAAUUCGGAACCGGCGAGACCAGAGAUUUACCGAGGACUGGAAUAAAUUUACAGAGUAUAUUAAAAAUAUAUGUGAAGGUCAAUUAACGUUUGUAGGUUUUCAAGAAGCUCUGUGAUAAUAAUGGAAAGAAAUAUUGUUUUAUAAUAAUUGCUAAGAUUAAUUUGGUUAAAAACAAAACAAUACAGAUGCAAGAAAUGUGAAUAACUGUGAAAACAUGAAAAUUUCCAGAUAGACUGAAGGAAGUCUGAAAGUGGAAAGAUUAGAAUUGGAU